UCAACAUCGAGGAUUGGGAGAGUAAUCCUGAUAGAGCGGUAACAGCGAACCGGGUUGGUGGAAGCCGGUACUAAGCAUCAGGAUGAAGCGCCCCCAGGAGAUGGUCUUCUGAACAGCUUUUCAGCUUGUGUAGGAAGAUCCGGCAUUCACCCCGUUAGCGUGCAAAGCGGCCGUAACAACCGGCUGGUAUGAAUAAUACUUGUCCGUUAUUGUUAUCCGGCACCAAGAGUGGUACCGCGGGAACUGCAGGCUCUCGUCUCUUUU
Molecule: non-coding RNA, 264 nt
Filed under: Paenibacillus larvae
Lineage: Bacteria; Bacillati; Bacillota; Bacilli; Caryophanales; Paenibacillaceae
Description: T-box sequence
Rfam family: T-box leader
About the family: Uncharged tRNA acts as the effector for transcription antitermination of genes in the T-box leader family.
Source: RNAcentral